Molecule: ribosomal RNA, 475 nt
Filed under: uncultured Alphaproteobacteria bacterium
Lineage: Bacteria; Pseudomonadati; Pseudomonadota; Alphaproteobacteria
Description: bacterial SSU rRNA
Rfam family: Bacterial small subunit ribosomal RNA
Source: RNAcentral
GAGUUUGAUCCUGGCUCAGAACGAACGCUGGCGGCAGGCCUAACACAUGCAAGUCGAGCGGGCGCGAGCGAUCGCGUCAGCGGCGCACGGGUGAGCAACGCGUGGGAACCUGCCCUUUGGUACGGAACAACCCUGGGAAACUAGGGCUGAUACCGCAUACGCCCCGCGAGGGGGAAAGAUUUAUCGCCGAAGGAGGGGCCCGCGUCCGAUUAGCUAGUUGGUGGGGUAACGGCCUACCAAGGCUACGAUCGGUAGCCGGUCUGAGAGGACGAUCGGCCACACUGGGACUGAGACACGGCCCAGACUCCUACGGGAGGCAGCAGUGGGGAAUAUUGGACAAUGGGCGCAAGCCUGAUCCAGCCAUGCCGCGUGAGUGAUGAAGGCCUUAGGGUUGUAAAGCUCUUUUACCCGGGAUGAUAAUGACCGUACCGGGAGAAUAAGCUCCGGCUAACUCCGUGCCAGCCGCCGCGGUAAC